AAAUCCCGUAAUUAACUCAGACUCUAUUUCUAAUCUCAUCUAUAGAGGGAGCUAGUCAACCACCAUCGCGCCGCCCGCAAGACCUCGCCGCCGAGCCACCCAUCACAUCCCAUCCCUACCCCCACCGACCACCACAUCACUGGGAUCUCCAUUCCCCUCUAUCGCCCGGCGGCCCUGCACGGACAUAGUGCCGGCAGCAAGAUCCCAUCAUCUUUGGCCUCCUGCUGGACGGUGGACGCCACUGGUGCAGAUUCAGAUUGGACUUCUUUUUUCCAAGUUAUGCUUCCUGGAAGCCCACAUGUUCUACUAACGCAAAGGUGCAGAUUUCCAAUUCGUGUUUUUUUUCUUCGAAUUAUGCUUCCUGAAAGCCCACGUGUUCUACUAUCUCGAUACACUUAUUGUGGAAUAGAAGUAUAAUUUGAUGGACUGGGACAUCACCCUGAUUUUCUAAUUGCCCGCAUUAAAACUCUCAUAUUUUCAUGUCCAGUGAUGAUCAGAAGCUGCUCGAUAAAAUGCCCCUUUGGUUUCAAGGUUCUUUAUUGUCAUUGAUUGCUGUUGACGAAAUGACAUUUGAGAAACAUAACCUAUGAUUAUCCUCCAUCCAGAUGGGAGUGGAAUUAGGCAAUAUAAAUUUUGAUAUGUCUCCAUCCGAUAAAAUGGGCAUAUUGCUUAGCUUUUAGGUGGAGUAACUAACGUACACACGAGUACUGAUGGAUAGGGAGAACAAUUCUUGGUAUGGAUUACCAACACUAUGGUGCUUUGGUGUUGUCUCUUGUCAUGAUUGGCGGAGGAAUCAAGUCUGUUUUUGGUUUCAUCGUAGACAUUCUUAUUCUGGCAUUCUGGAUUAGUUAUUAUGAAGUGCUCAAUGUUUUUGCCAUGAGGAGGCCAUAUGAUGUUGUUGCAAACGACUAGUUGUUGUUUGUGUCUCACUAAUGUAAACAUAAUUUUCAGUAUUUUUAUAUAUUUUGUAACUGAAACGAUAGUUUGUAACUGAAACGUAAUUGAUGAUUUUAA
Lolium perenne is the source of this 1014-nucleotide long non-coding RNA. RefSeq lists it as uncharacterized. The record is from RefSeq and is a predicted model, not a curated record. Lineage: Eukaryota; Viridiplantae; Streptophyta; Magnoliopsida; Poales; Poaceae.